Long non-coding RNA from Numida meleagris (helmeted guineafowl), 2457 nucleotides. RefSeq lists it as uncharacterized. The record is from RefSeq and is a predicted model, not a curated record. The transcript has 3 exons. NCBI's taxonomy places the organism in Eukaryota, Metazoa, Chordata, Aves, Galliformes, Numididae.
AUAAAGCCCUGCAGACCCUGAGAAGAAUAAAGCAGGAGAGAGUCUGUAGUGGCUGGGAGGGGAAGACUGCACUUUGAAGCAGGGGACGCCCUGCUGGUGCUACCUAUCGCAUCCACUGCUGGCGUGUUUCUUCUCUCUCCUCUCUGGUGAUUUGCCACCUUUCAAGGGUCAAUAAGUAAUAGUGCACUAGUGUAGGGAGUUUUUGAUUCCCACUUACAUGAUUAUAUAGAAUAGAUGCCUGUGUGUGUGAGAGUGUGCAUAUCUUGGCUGGAACGCAUGAUUCUCUGUGCAGCUCUGAGUGCCUAGUUUGCUUGUCUCUGCCUCUGAGACAAGCCAUCGUGGAGUGGACGCAUAAAACCUUGAAGGCGUGGCUCCGAGCCUUAAAAGAGGGGGCAGAGCUGACGGGUCCAGAACUGUGUCCCCAUGCCUCGAUUCUUCAAUUCAUUGGGACUACAUGAACACCUCCUUCCUCUUGGCUGGUGUCCCUCGUCUCCGCAAGUCUACGGAUACUACUUCUUGUCAGAAAAGGACUGCUCUUACUAUCUACUAUAUUUCGGCUGCUGCAACGGCUCAUUGAGAACAUUGUUUCAAAAACAGUACAGGUUGACCUGCUGAUAUCUGAUGAGCCAGACUGAGCUUUCUCCAGCACAGGUGUGUGCUUUCCACGCAUAAAUGAUAAUAAACACCAAGAGGCUAAAAGAUAAAGUGAGGAGCUCUUGCUGCCAUUUCAACAGUGAACACUGCAAACUCAAGGAGAGCAUUUCAAUAUUUUAUAUGCCCAACAUCCAACAUCAAGUAUCUCUCCUUUGAAACUGCAGACAAGGAGACUUCACAGAGCAUGAAUUGCAUGAAUUCUCUCAUCAAUUUAUGACCUGUCUCCAGACCCGUUUCCCUGCUUUCGGAUCAAGAGGAGCAGUCAGUACUACAGACCACAUUCACCUGCAGACAAGAGAUGUUUACAGAGCUGCUGAGAUUUAUGACUGAAGACUGUUCAACCCUGAAGCUGCAGUCCUUUUGUGAGGAAGAAGCUGGCAGGUCAGUAGGAGAUAACCUUCUCAUUUGCUCUUCCUGUCAGUGUAAGCUGGUUUCUGACCUGAUAAUAAACUGCUAAUCACCUAGUUGCAGUUCUUGGGUAGUACAGUAUUCAGUAAAAUAAAGUGGGUCUUCCCUUUUUUUCCUGUGUCUUAUUUGCUAAGAAUAACAUGGCCAAAUCUGAGUGGAGUGAUAGAGGGGGAAAAAAAAUCAUUGUGUGAUAAAUAUGUCUUAAGUCAUGAGAUAGACCUUUUAAAUGUUCGUUCAGGAGUUUUGGUGGUGAGCAAUUACCGCAUUCAUGUUGAUCGAUUUGUUGUUUUGAGCUUGUGUUUGAGAAUCCUGUCAGCACUGCCAGGGACUUGGAUAUUUAUACAUGAGAAUAGUCAGCGUUUUUCUCCAUUUUCACUGGGCUUUUUUUCCUCUUUUUUUUCUGAACUUCUCUGAGAACCCUCAAGAUGGCUUUCAGGUUUGCUGUCAUUCAACACUUUAAGCUGUUGCACAAAUCAAGACAGGGUGAAGUCACUUCAGAGUCACCUGGGCCACUACACAGAAAUACCCCAUGAUGGCUUUUCUGAGCAGCUAGAUUUAAGUCACAUCAUGGGGACAAACCUUACAUGUUUUUAAAGAGCAAAUAUUAGUUUGCUUGUCAUCUCAAUUCUGUCCAUGUAAGUGAGACAUUAUCUCCACUGGCUCUAGAGAACAAUUGAACUAGAGGCUGAGAUUCACACAAGUCACCUGUUAGCACUUUCAAGCAAGGCCCUUCUUUUCUCAACAGCAGGUAGCUUCACAUUAUCCUGACCAGAGAUAAGGGCUUUGUUUUAUGCCUCAAAGCAAUAAAAGGAAGUGUUUGUAGAAAGGCCCAUCUGUAAGUCAGGGAGAAAAAAAGAACUGAAUCUCCAGCUGUGAGGAAGAGAACCUCAGCUGCAAGAAGAGAGAAGGAAAGAAGGGAACCCCUCCAGCUGCAAGAAGAGAGAGGGAAAGAAGGGAACCUCCAGCUGCAAGAAAAAAAUGGGAAUAUCCAGCUGCAAGAAAGAAGGGAAAAGCAUGUAACAUAAAACAGCAAGAAUUAAAGGAAAACAAGGGAAUGGGAUGGAGCCCAAACUGCAAGGAAGAAGAGAAAAGAAGGGAGAUUCCAGCUGCAAGAAAGAGGGGGAAAGAAGGGAACCUUGAACAGCAAAAUGAAACAGGAAUGAAGGCAGACUCCAACAGAAAGAAGGAAGAGGCAACAAGUGAACAUCCAACUUCAGGAAGAAGAGGAAAGAAAUGGAUGUUCAACUGCAAGAAAGAAGGGGAAAAAAGGGAAGAUCCAACUGGAAGGAAGAAGGGAAGGUCCAAGUACAAGACAAAGGAAAAAUAGGGAACUUCCAACUGCAUGAAAGAGGGGGAAAGAAGGAAAACCCAAACUGCAAAAAAAAAAAAAAAAAA